AUAAUACAGAAGACAAAACGCUACUAACAGUCUCAUUCAGAUGCACAUCAGUGAAAACUGGAAACCAGGCUUUCUCUUGACUUGGGAACUCCUCACCAGUGUGGCUGGUACCUGACAGGGAUGAAGGUGAUUGAGGAGAUGCCAGUCCUCUGUUCCGUAACAUUUUGGAACUUCAUUGUUCUUCUUGAGUGUGACACAAAGACCUGUAUUCCCUCUGCGUCAUGCAUCUUACAAUUGUUAGACAAGGAUGUACUUCCACAAUACUCUGCCUUUAGGGGCAAAGCCAGAUUAAAGGAUCCUCUGUUCUCCCCUACUGUUCUGCUGGCAACUUGUUAUCCUGUACUACUGUUCACCACCCCACGCACACAAAGGUUUGUGAGGCAAUGCUUACAUGAUCUGAAGUGAUCCAUGUUAAAAAUAACUCUCAAAAAAGGUUAUUUUCAGUGAUCCCAUUUAUCCUGUGCUCCCACAAACAGUUGUUGUGGAAUAACUGAAGGCGGGAAGUCGCAGCGGAAAAGCUGGACCACGCAGCCGGAGGUGGGAGGGAGCAGCUGAAGCCAAUGUGUUGUGAUCCUGUGCUGGUAGUCCCAACAACAAGAUGGACUCUGCUGCCAUUAACACCUUUGCACAUAUGGUUCUGAUCCAAUUCCUUCCAAAAGCAGUAGGCUUCAUUACGUUGAUGUUAAUCAGGGGCUCUAGGAAGGUGGUCUUUUCCUCACCUUGACUCACUAAAAACUGCAAAGGUUGGGUGAUUGGCGUUGUUGUUUUUGUUUUUUUCUCUGAGAAUGUUUUGCUGUAUAUUUCCAAGUUAAUAAUUCUGCAAUUAUGUAAACCACUCUUUUCCAUAUUCACUUACUGGAUUGUUUGUGCUGGUUAAAUAUUCUCAUGUUAAUGAUAAAUCUGAAAUAAAAAAUGAGCAACUGAGUACUCUGCCAUAAACCCAUACAAAA
Molecule: long non-coding RNA, 950 nt
Organism: Oxyura jamaicensis (ruddy duck)
Lineage: Eukaryota; Metazoa; Chordata; Aves; Anseriformes; Anatidae
Exons: 2
Source: RefSeq, a predicted model, not a curated record